Long non-coding RNA from Homo sapiens (human), 456 nucleotides. Ensembl annotates it as long intergenic non-protein coding RNA 1206. The record is from Ensembl. NCBI's taxonomy places the organism in Eukaryota, Metazoa, Chordata, Mammalia, Primates, Hominidae.
AGACCUUGACAGUUGUAACCGAUAGACUGGGCUGGGGCAACGCUGAUGAAAGGCAAAUUCCUGAGAGAAAAAUCACCCAGAUUUUUCAGUGCCUUCUCUAGCUUUCUAGAAGUUGUUAUGAGUGGACCUGACUACCUAGAGAGAGUAAUACAGAAGCUCCGUGCCGAUCACAGCUACCUCAUUACCAUGUUCCUCCAAGAUGGCCGCCCCUGAGGAGAAUCAUCAACUGGGCUUUACGGAAGAGAGAAAUCCAAACGACCAUCAGCAACAAAUGAAAGACUGAAGUUGAAAGGCAAGUCUUCAGAUUUGAAUUUCUUGCAGGCACUACUGUCUCUUUUAGAGAAAAGCAGGUUCUUCAUGCACAUCUCUUCAGGCAAAUAGAUGCCCAGGAGCAUGGCCGGCUUACUGGUUCCUCAACAGCCAAAUUUCAACAUAGACCAUGUCUUAUGUGACUUU